UACGUAGGGGGCAAGCGUUGUCCGGAUUUAUUGGGCGUAAAGAGCGUGUAGGCGGCCAUUCAGGUCAGCUGUGAAAACUCGAGGCUCAACCUCGAGACGUCGGUUGAAACCGUUUGGCUAGAGUCCGGAAGAGGAGAGUGGAAUUCCCGGUGUAGCGGUGAAAUGCGCAGAUAUCGGGAAGAACACCCGUGGCGAAGGCGGCUUCCUGGCCUGUUCUUGACGCUGAGGCGCGAAAGCUAGGGUAGCAAACGGG
This 253-nucleotide ribosomal RNA is filed under the name uncultured bacterium. RNAcentral's name for it is "partial 16S ribosomal RNA". It matches the Rfam family "Bacterial small subunit ribosomal RNA", at positions 524 to 776 of the family's 1533-position model. The record is from RNAcentral.